RNAcentral lists this non-coding RNA (782 nucleotides) under Hypermnestra helios (desert apollo). Lineage: Eukaryota; Metazoa; Arthropoda; Insecta; Lepidoptera; Papilionidae. The record is from RNAcentral.
UAAAUAAAUUUUUUAUGAUUUAUUAAAUUUAAUUUAAAUUUAUUUUACAUGUAAAUUUUAGUAUUAAUUUUUAAUUAUUUUAAUAAUAAUUAUUUAUAGUUGCAGUAAUUAAAAUUAAAAAUUUAAGAAAUUAAGAUUUAGUAAUAUUUAGUUUAUUAUUAACAAAUUUUGUGCCAGCAGUUGCGGUUAUACAAAAAAUGAUUUAAAUUUUAAUUAGUAAAUAAUUAAUAAUAAUUUAUUUAAAUUAAAUAUUAAAUUAUUAGGUGAAAUUUUAAUUUAAUUAAAAUUUAUGUUAUUUUUAUGAUUUAUUAAAUUUUAUAUAAAACUAGGAUUAGAUACCCUAUUAUUAAAAAAUAAAUUUUAUAAUACUAAAAUAGUAGAUAAUAAUUUAUUGAAACUUAAAUAAUUUGGCGGUAUUUUAGUUCAUUUAGAGGAAUCUGUUUAAUAAUUGAUAAUCCACGAAUAAAUUUACUUAAUUUAUUAUUUUGUAUAUCGUUGUUAUAAAAAUAUUUUUUAAUAAAAAUAAUAUUUAAAAAUUUUUAUAUAAAAAUUAAUUCAGAUCAAGAUGCAGAUUAUAAUUAAGAAUAUAAUGGAUUACAAUAAAUAAAUUUAAAUGAAUAAUAUUUUUUAAUAUAUAUUUGAAGGUGGAUUUAAAUGUAAUUUUAAUUAGUUUAUUAAAAUGAUUAUAAUUUAAAAUAUGUACAUAUUGCCCGUCGCUUUCAUUAAUAAAUUGGAAUAAGUCGUAACAAAGUAGAGGUACUGGAAAGUGUUUCUAGAAAGAU